Molecule: ribosomal RNA, 428 nt
Filed under: uncultured bacterium
Lineage: Bacteria
Description: bacterial SSU rRNA
Rfam family: Bacterial small subunit ribosomal RNA
Source: RNAcentral
AACGAACGCUGGCGGCAUGCCUAACACAUGCAAGUCGAACGAGACCUUCGGGUCUAGUGGCGCACGGGUGCGUAACGCGUGGGAAUCUGCCCUUGGGUUCGGAAUAACAGUUAGAAAUGACUGCUAAUACCGGAUGAUGUCUUCGGACCAAAGAUUUAUCGCCCAGGGAUGAGCCCGCGUAGGAUUAGCUAGUUGGUGGGGUAAAGGCCUACCAAGGCGACGAUCCUUAGCUGGUCUGAGAGGAUGAUCAGCCACACUGGGACUGAGACACGGCCCAGACUCCUACGGGAGGCAGCAGUGGGGAAUAUUGGACAAUGGGCGAAAGCCUGAUCCAGCAAUGCCGCGUGAGUGAUGAAGGCCUUAGGGUUGUAAAGCUCUUUACCCGGGAUGAUAUGACAGUACCGGAGAAUAAGCCCCGGCUAACUCCG